RNAcentral lists this small RNA (205 nucleotides) under Xenorhabdus ehlersii. Its description in RNAcentral is "rncO". It matches the Rfam family "rncO". From Rfam's summary of the family: This family represents a bacterial regulatory element (rncO) found in the rnc leader sequence. The rnc operon is negatively auto-regulated by transcript stability. rnc, the first gene in the operon codes for RNase III which cleaves the long rncO stem II leading to transcript degradation and a reduction in translation. The record is from RNAcentral. Lineage: Bacteria; Pseudomonadati; Pseudomonadota; Gammaproteobacteria; Enterobacterales; Morganellaceae.
GAAUGAAUACGUUGGGAGCUAGUGCAAACGCAACAGUUUUGUAAGGCAUACCGCAAAAAAUGUUCCCAAGGUAAAUUGCUGGUUGGUAUUGCCUCACAGGUCUGUUGCGUGUGCUUUUUAUUUGAUGAAUUCUAACUGAAUUGGUAGCACAUGAAUCCCAUAAUAACGAACCGGUUACAACAUAAGCUAGGAUAUAGCUUUAAAC